AUUGAACGCUAGCGGCAUGCUUAACACAUGCAAGUCGAACGGCAGCACGGGCUUCGGCCUGGUGGCGAGUGGCGGACGGGUGAGUAAUGCAUAGGAAUCUGCCUGGCAAUGGGACGAACUUGGGAAACGUCAAGCUAAUACCGCAUACGCCCUACGGGGGAAAGCGGGGAUCUUCGGACCUCGCGUUGUCAGAUGAGCCUAUGUCCGAUUAGCUAGUUGGUGGGGUAAAGGCCUACCAAGGCGACGAUCGGUAGCUGGUCUGAGAGGACGACCAGCCACACUGGGACUGAGACACGGCCCAGACUCCUACGGGAGGCAGCAGUGGGGAAUAUUGGACAAUGGGGCAACCCGUGCAUCCAGCAAUGCCGCGUGGGUGAAGAAGGCCUGCGGUGUAAAGGCCCUUUCAGUAGGGCAGAAAAUGCUGAAGGAAUAAUACCGUUUCAGUGUUGACGUUACCUACAGAAGAAGCACCGGCUAACUCUGUGCCAGCAGCCGCGGUAAUACAGAGGGUGCAAGCGUUAAUCGGAAUUACUGGGCGUAAAGCGCACGUAGGUGGUUUGAUAAGUCGGAUGUGAAAGCCCGG
Molecule: ribosomal RNA, 583 nt
Filed under: uncultured bacterium
Lineage: Bacteria
Description: bacterial SSU rRNA
Rfam family: Bacterial small subunit ribosomal RNA
Source: RNAcentral